Molecule: ribosomal RNA, 783 nt
Filed under: uncultured Streptococcus sp.
Lineage: Bacteria; Bacillati; Bacillota; Bacilli; Lactobacillales; Streptococcaceae
Description: bacterial SSU rRNA
Rfam family: Bacterial small subunit ribosomal RNA
Source: RNAcentral
AACGCUGAAGAGAGGAGCUUGCUCUUCUUGGAUGAGUUGCGAACGGGUGAGUAACGCGUAGGUAACCUGCCUUGUAGCGGGGGAUAACUAUUGGAAACGAUAGCUAAUACCGCAUAACAAUGGAUGACACAUGUCAUUUAUUUGAAAGGGGCAAUUGCUCCACUACAAGAUGGACCUGCGUUGUAUUAGCUAGUAGGUGAGGUAACGGCUCACCUAGGCAACGAUACAUAGCCGACCUGAGAGGGUGAUCGGCCACACUGGGACUGAGACACGGCCCAGACUCCUACGGGAGGCAGCAGUAGGGAAUUUUCGGCAAUGGGGGCAACCCUGACCGAGCAACGCCGCGUGAGUGAAGAAGGUUUUCGGAUCGUAAAGCUCUGUUGUAAGUCAGGAACGAGUGUGAGAGUGGAAAGUUCACACUGUGACGGUAGCUUACCAGAAAGGGACGGCUAACUACGUGCCAGCAGCCGCGGUAAUACGUAGGUCCCGAGCGUUGUCCGGAUUUAUUGGGCGUAAAGCGAGCGCAGGCGGUUUGAUAAGUCUGAAGUUAAAGGCUGUGGCUCAACCAUAGUUCGCUUUGGAAACUGUCAAACUUGAGUGCAGAAGGGGAGAGUGGAAUUCCAUGUGUAGCGGUGAAAUGCGUAGAUAUAUGGAGGAACACCGGUGGCGAAAGCGGCUCUCUGGUCUGUAACUGACGCUGAGGCUCGAAAGCGUGGGGAGCGAACAGGAUUAGAUACCCUGGUAGUCCACGCCGUAAACGAUGAGUGCUAGGUGUUGGAUCCU